This 441-nucleotide ribosomal RNA is filed under the name uncultured bacterium. RNAcentral's name for it is "partial 16S ribosomal RNA". It matches the Rfam family "Bacterial small subunit ribosomal RNA", at positions 338 to 795 of the family's 1533-position model. The record is from RNAcentral.
CCUACGGGGCGCAGCAGUGGGGAAUAUUGCACAAUGGGGGAAACCCUGAUGCAGCGACGCCGCGUGGGGGAAGAAGGAUUUCGGUAUGUAAAGUCCUAUCAGCAGGGACGAAAAAUGACGGUACCUGACUAAGAAGCACCGGCUAAAUACGUGCGAGCAGCCGCGGUAAUACGUAUGGUGCAAGCGUUAGACGGAUUUACUGGGUGUAUAGGGAGCGCAGGCGGCGGGCUUAGACUGAGGUGAAAACCCGCGGCCCAACCGCGGGAGUGCAUUGGAAACUGGCGGGCUGGAGUACCGGAGUGGCAGGCGGAAUUCCUAGUGUAGCGGUGAAAUGCGUAGAUAUUAGGAGGAACACCAGUGGCGAAGGCGGCCUGCUGGACAGCGACUGACGCUGAGGCUCGAAAGCGUGGGGAGCAAACAGGAUUAGAUACCCGAGUAGUC